Molecule: long non-coding RNA, 280 nt
Filed under: Phoenix dactylifera (date palm)
Lineage: Eukaryota; Viridiplantae; Streptophyta; Magnoliopsida; Arecales; Arecaceae
Description: long non-coding RNA (PDAC_LNC017016)
Source: RNAcentral
CGGUUGCACUUCCAGCUGAAGGGAAAAACGUAGAUCUCCUUCCCCUCUACGCAAGGACCUCGAUUUCCAAAAAGAAAAAAGUAAAUAUCCAUCCCUAUCUAGUCUUUUGAUGACAUUAGGCUAUACAAAGGGUGGAUAUAGUCUAGAGGGGUCGGAUAAGGGUUGUAGAGGCGGUUAAAAGAGGAAGAAUCGGAUUUUGACAAAUUUUUCCGGCACUACGGAAAAUCUAUGUCGAAGUCCCAACUUCGGCGAAUUAUUUAGGGGGUCAAACGACCUCCGA